AAUAGUGUUACCAUCGAUUGCAUCACAACAACAGCACCGAGUAGGGCAGUGAUUAAUGCCCUUGACCAACACUAAAAAUAGGAGUUGAGAUUACAGAUUUGCAGUCUUACGAAAUGGCCACCGACAACUCAGUGAAAGCACAAAUGGAAGCAUUGGAAAUUAGAAUUGAGAACCGGUUACAAGAAGUACUUAAUGAUUUCAAAAAGGACUUACUGGGGAGCUUUAGUAAAUUUCAACAAGGUGGGAGCUCAAGUUCUACAUUGCACAGAU
RNAcentral lists this long non-coding RNA (270 nucleotides) under Musa acuminata (dwarf banana). RNAcentral describes it as "long non-coding RNA (MACU_LNC001931)". The record is from RNAcentral. Lineage: Eukaryota; Viridiplantae; Streptophyta; Magnoliopsida; Zingiberales; Musaceae.